GGGAUUGCCUCAGUAACGGCGAGUGAAGCGGCAUCAGCUCAAAUUUGAAAGCCCUCGGGCGUUGUAAUUUGCAGGGGAAGUGCUUGGGGCGGGUGCUGUCUACGUUCCUUGGAACAGGACGCCGCAGAGGGUGAGAGCCCCGUGCGAUGGCACCUCUAACCGUAUAAGCCUUCUCCGACGAGUCGAGUUGUUUGGGAAUGCAGCUCAAAGUGGGUGGUAAAUUCCAUCUAAAGCUAAAUACUGGCGAGAGACCGAUAGCGAACAAGUACAGUGAUGGAAAGAUGAAAAGCACUUUGAAAAGAGAGUGAAACAGCACGUGAAAUUGUUGAAAGGGAAGGGUAUGCGAUUAGCGGCCAGCAGGAGGUGGUCUCUCGUGAAAAGGCCGGGCACCGUCCUCGGACACUGUGCGCGGAGAUGGCGAGGGGCCGCCUGAGGUCUGCGACUCUAGGUUGCUGGCGUAAUGAU
RNAcentral lists this ribosomal RNA (465 nucleotides) under [Candida] sp. Envir-L231. Its description in RNAcentral is "eukaryotic LSU rRNA". It matches the Rfam family "Eukaryotic large subunit ribosomal RNA", at positions 71 to 500 of the family's 3401-position model. The record is from RNAcentral. Lineage: Eukaryota; Fungi; Ascomycota; Saccharomycetes; Saccharomycetales.